CCAGACUCCUACGGGAGGCAGCAGUGAGGAAUAUUGGUCAAUGGCCGAGAGGCUGAACCAGCCAAGUCGCGUGAGGGAAGACGGCCCUACGGGUUGUAAACCUCUUUUGUCGGGGAGCAAAGCGAACCACGUGUGGUUCAUUGAGAGUACCCGAAGAAAAAGCAUCGGCUAACUCCGUGCCAGCAGCCGCGGUAAUACGUAGGGAGCAAGCGUUGUCCGGAAUUACUGGGCGUAAAGGGCGCGUAGGUGGGCGCUUAAGUCAGGUGUGAAAACUCCGGGCUCAACCUGGAGACUGCACUUGAAACUGGGUGUCUUGAGGGCAGGAGAGGAAAGUGGAAUUCCUAGUGUAGCGGUGAAAUGCGUAGAUAUUAGGAGGAACACCAGUGGCGAAGGCGACUUUCUGGACUGUACCUGACGCUGAGGCGCGAAAGCGUGGGUAGCGAACGGGAUUAGAUACCCCGGUAUG
RNAcentral lists this ribosomal RNA (466 nucleotides) under uncultured bacterium. RNAcentral's name for it is "bacterial SSU rRNA". It matches the Rfam family "Bacterial small subunit ribosomal RNA", at positions 331 to 793 of the family's 1533-position model. The record is from RNAcentral.